RNAcentral lists this long non-coding RNA (155 nucleotides) under Dendronephthya gigantea. RNAcentral's name for it is "uncharacterized LOC114518438, transcript variant X1". Lineage: Eukaryota; Metazoa; Cnidaria; Anthozoa; Malacalcyonacea; Nephtheidae. The record is from RNAcentral.
GGAAGUGACAAGAUUUCUGCACCGAGAUUUUCCUUGGUCAAGAAUGCAACAUGAGCUGUGGAUAUGAACUUUACUGUCAGAUGAACUUUGGAAGUGACAAGAUUUCUGCGCAAAGAUUUUUCUUGGUCAAGAGUGCAACAUGAGCUGUAGAUAUG